UGGGGAAUAUUGCGCAAUGGGGGCAACCCUGACGCAGCAACGCCGCGUGAUUGAUGAAGGUCUUCGGAUUGUAAAAAUCUUUAAUCAGGGACGAAGAAAAUGACGGUACCUGAAGAAUAAGCUCCGGCUAACUACGUGCCAGCAGCCGCGGUAAUACGUAGGGAGCAAGCGUUAUCCGGAUUUACUGGGUGUAAAGGGCGUGUAGGCGGGCUUGUAAGUUGGAAGUGAAAUCCAGGGGCUUAACCCCUGAACUGCUUUCAAAACUGCGAGUCUUGAGUGAUGGAGAGGCAGGCGGAAUUCCCAGUGUAGCGGUGAAAUGCGUAGAUAUUGGGAGGAACACCAGUGGCGAAGGCGGCCUGCUGGACAUUAACUGACGCUGAGGCGCGAAAGCGUGGGGAGCAAACAG
This 406-nucleotide ribosomal RNA is filed under the name uncultured bacterium. Its description in RNAcentral is "bacterial SSU rRNA". It matches the Rfam family "Bacterial small subunit ribosomal RNA", at positions 355 to 775 of the family's 1533-position model. The record is from RNAcentral.